GGCUGGGUAGCUCAGGUGGUUAGAGCGAUGGAUUCAUAACCCAUAGGUCGGCGGUUCGAUCCCGCCCCCAGCCACCA
This 77-nucleotide transfer RNA is filed under the name Brevundimonas abyssalis. It matches the Rfam family "tRNA". Rfam says of the family: Transfer RNA (tRNA) molecules are approximately 80 nucleotides in length. Their secondary structure includes four short double-helical elements and three loops (D, anti-codon, and T loops). Further hydrogen bonds mediate the characteristic L-shaped molecular structure. tRNAs have two regions of fundamental functional importance: the anti-codon, which is responsible for specific mRNA codon recognition, and the 3' end, to which the tRNAs corresponding amino acid is attached (by aminoacyl-tRNA synthetases). tRNAs cope with the degeneracy of the genetic code in two manners: having more than one tRNA (with a specific anti-codon) for a particular amino acid; and 'wobble' base-pairing, i.e. permitting non-standard base-pairing at the 3rd anti-codon position. Lineage: Bacteria; Pseudomonadati; Pseudomonadota; Alphaproteobacteria; Caulobacterales; Caulobacteraceae. RNAcentral also lists the same sequence under 4 other names. The record is from RNAcentral.